This is a long non-coding RNA of Sinocyclocheilus rhinocerous, 360 nucleotides long. RefSeq lists it as uncharacterized. The record is from RefSeq and is a predicted model, not a curated record. Lineage: Eukaryota; Metazoa; Chordata; Actinopteri; Cypriniformes; Cyprinidae. The transcript is spliced from 3 exons.
CUUGAUUAUAUUCACCUGUGACAUGUUACCUAAUUAGUUGAUAAAUAUCCUUGUGUUUGUCUACUGCUGGAAUCAACAAAGCUGUCUUUGAUGGGAUUCCACCCACAUCCUCAUGGCGCUCAAAGCGGGUUUCUAUGAGGAGAAUGGAGAGAUAACAACUGACAUCAAAGCCUGGGGGAAAAUAAACUGUCUGCGGAUGCUCCAGAAGAUGAUAAACUUAGAAGGGACUUCAAACCUAGAAGGGACCUCAUAUGUCCAAAAGGGGAAGAAGAAGAAGAAGAAAAAAAACAGUAUCAGUGGAAGUGCUAAAUAAAUCACAAAUAUUAUAAUAUAUCAGAAUUUACAGGGUGUUCAACUAGA